UGGCCUAUUUUUUUCCCCGUGAACCCUUGAAACUAAUGCUUUUUUCUUUGAAAGCAUUACAGAGAGAACUGAACAAAUAGCACCGUUUUGCCUUGUUGUUGGUAAAUCGAUCUUAGCAUCUUCCCACCUUCGCAGGCUGCCUGGAACUUCUUCUCGACAGACUUCACUCUUUUUUCACCAACCGACAGGUCUGUCGAGAUUCAUGUUGCUGUCACUGGGUGACUCCAUUUCUACUACAAACUGUAUCAAAAGAUGAGCUGCAACAGCUGGAGCCAUAUUCAGACGAGGAAAAUUGUUCAGAACGAAAAGACAUGGAUGGGUGAGGAGGUGAUGCUGUGUUUUAAGAAACACGUUGAGAGAAGUGCACAUCUCGCGGGGCUUGAGUACCGGCUGAAUGAACUUUGUCACCAGUAUUUU
Molecule: long non-coding RNA, 417 nt
Organism: Phragmites australis (common reed)
Lineage: Eukaryota; Viridiplantae; Streptophyta; Magnoliopsida; Poales; Poaceae
Exons: 3
Source: RefSeq, a predicted model, not a curated record